RNAcentral lists this ribosomal RNA (161 nucleotides) under Herpotrichiellaceae sp. RNAcentral's name for it is "partial large subunit ribosomal RNA". It matches the Rfam family "Eukaryotic large subunit ribosomal RNA", at positions 103 to 261 of the family's 3401-position model. The record is from RNAcentral. Lineage: Eukaryota; Fungi; Ascomycota; Eurotiomycetes; Chaetothyriales; Herpotrichiellaceae.
AAUAGCUCAAAUUUGAAAUCUGGCGUCUUCGGCGUCCGAGUUGUAAUUUGUAGAGGAUGCUUCUGAGUAACCACCGACCUAAGUUCCUUGGAACAGAAUGUCAAAGAGGGUGAGAAUCCCGUCUUGGACCGGCGGUAGGGCCUGUGUAAAACUCCUUCGAC